UACGUAGGUGGCAAGCGUUGUCCGGAAUUAUUGGGCGUAAAGCGCGCGCAGGCGGUCUUUUAUGUCUGAUGUGAAAUCUCGGGGCUCAACCCCGAGCGGUCAUUGGAAACUGGGAGACUUGAGUACAGAAGAGGAGAGUGGAAUUCCACGUGUAGCGGUGAAAUGCGUAGAUAUGUGGAGGAACACCAGUGGCGAAGGCGACUCUCUGGUCUGUAACUGACGCUGAGGCGCGAAAGCGUGGGGAGCAAACAGG
This 253-nucleotide ribosomal RNA is filed under the name uncultured bacterium. RNAcentral describes it as "partial 16S ribosomal RNA". It matches the Rfam family "Bacterial small subunit ribosomal RNA", at positions 524 to 776 of the family's 1533-position model. The record is from RNAcentral.